Molecule: small nuclear RNA, 138 nt
Organism: Ochotona princeps (American pika)
Lineage: Eukaryota; Metazoa; Chordata; Mammalia; Lagomorpha; Ochotonidae
Product: U4 spliceosomal RNA
Exons: 1
Source: RefSeq, a predicted model, not a curated record
AGCUUUGCACAGUGGCAGUAUCGUAGCCAGUGAGGUUUAUCCAAGGCGUGAUUGCUAAUUGAAAACUUUUCCCAAUGCCCCGCCGUGACAACUUGAAAUAUAGUUGGCAUUGGCUAAAAAAAAAAAAAAGACAGAUUU